UAAAGAGAACACUGCUCCAGUUCCCUAUUCAGAGUCAAAUGAAUAAAAGCUGGAAGGUUUGUUACAGAAAAAUAACACCUGCUUAAGGAAUCCAGGGACUGACUGCAGGGAGAAGGCAACAGAAAGCCUUCAGCUUCUGGUGUGAGAAAUUGCUCAGGACUUCAAAACAGAUCUGCUGCAGAGUGCAGGUGCUGGUGCUUCGCAGAUGUGUGUGGCCUCUCUGGUCGGCCUUGUUGAAGAAAGCAACCUGUGUGCCAUCCGUGCCAACUGUGUAACAAUGGGAGAAGAGAACGUGUGUGAGACUCCACCGUGAUAUAUACGCUGUGCAGUACUGAGCUGUUUUAAAAAAUGAAAUCUUGUCUGUUACAACAAGAGGGACACAACUGGAAACCAUUCUACUCGGUGCAAUAAGGCAGUUCCAGAAAGACAGAUAUCAUGUUUUCCCUGAUCCAAGACACCUGCAACACAUACAGCUGGGCCAGGAGCUCCAUCUGGAUUGUCCGCCUGAGCAGCAGGGACCCCAGUACUUGAGUCAUCACCUGCUACCUCCCAGGUGUACAUCUGCAAGAAGCAGGAUGUGGAUCGACUAACCAGGACUGAAACAUGCAUUUCAACAUGGAUGUAUGCAUUCUAAGUGGUUACUCCACUGCAGGGCCCCACACCUACACGUCCAUGAACUUUUCCCAUGAGGCACCCUUGUAUGUGUUUAUAUAACCUACAAUGAAACUACUAACCUUUUAUGUUCCAUUGUUCUGCAUACAGAACACCUAUAAAGACUCAAAUUGAGUUAUAAAUAUACUUGUGGUGACUUGGAAUUCAAUAUUCUCUCACUGAAAUAGUCACAUAGUUGAAAACUUGGGACUUAAGGGGUUAAAGCAGGAGUGUCCAGACCCUCCUCCACGUAUCAAGGUCAGACUGCUCAGUCCUCUCCACUUACAUUUAACCAACCCCUGACCAGGUAGCCUGCGGCUUUGUGCAGCUCCUUAGUGAGUGCGCUGGCAGGUAAUCAGUGCAUCAGCGUCUAGUACCUGUCCCUCCAUCGCUUUAGACCUCAGGGAGCCCGUCAUCCGCAGCAGUCAGGGCUGGAUGCACUGCGUGCAACUGCGGUCCUCGAGGCGGGAGGCGUGGCUUGGGGGACGCCUGGCAAGCGCUGUGAAAAGGCAGGCAGAUGGUGCUUCCCAUUUAUAUGAGCGCUCUGCUCACAGCACAGCUGCUCUGAGACCACAGCAGAGGGCCAAGUGCAACGUGCUGGGCUACCAAGCUCAUCCCAGCCGACCUUAAUAAAACCGUUAAGGACAACACCGCUUAAAUGUGGGGCAAGGGUGAGAUGUGACUCCCCAAAGCCAAGUUGUGGGGCCCUGCAGAUUUAAGGGACCCCAGAGGAACUGUAUUCCCGAGACCUCUUAGGGAGGUCCUGCCAGGGCUCCAAGGACUCCUGGCUGAACUGCUCUGAGGGACAGGAGACCCCUGGGGGUUCUGUUCAAGC
Molecule: non-coding RNA, 1486 nt
Organism: Oryctolagus cuniculus (rabbit)
Lineage: Eukaryota; Metazoa; Chordata; Mammalia; Lagomorpha; Leporidae
Source: RefSeq, a predicted model, not a curated record